Molecule: transfer RNA, 76 nt
Filed under: Candidatus Ryanbacteria bacterium RIFCSPLOWO2_01_FULL_48_26
Lineage: Bacteria; Candidatus Ryaniibacteriota
Description: tRNA-Cys
Rfam family: tRNA
About the family: Transfer RNA (tRNA) molecules are approximately 80 nucleotides in length. Their secondary structure includes four short double-helical elements and three loops (D, anti-codon, and T loops).
Source: RNAcentral
GGCCACGUGGUGAAGUAGCUAACACGGCGGUCUGCAAAACCGCUAUCCAUGGGUGCAAAUCCCAUCGUGGCCUCGA